UUCGUUGUCGUCCAGUGGUUAGGAUAUCUGGCUUUCACCCAGGAGAGCCUGGGUUCAAUUCUCGGCAACGGAA
RNAcentral lists this transfer RNA (73 nucleotides) under Ipomoea nil (Japanese morning glory). It matches the Rfam family "tRNA". From Rfam's summary of the family: Transfer RNA (tRNA) molecules are approximately 80 nucleotides in length. The record is from Rfam by way of RNAcentral. Lineage: Eukaryota; Viridiplantae; Streptophyta; Magnoliopsida; Solanales; Convolvulaceae.